This 358-nucleotide ribosomal RNA is filed under the name Streptococcus agalactiae. RNAcentral describes it as "bacterial SSU rRNA". It matches the Rfam family "Bacterial small subunit ribosomal RNA", at positions 1 to 349 of the family's 1533-position model. Lineage: Bacteria; Bacillati; Bacillota; Bacilli; Lactobacillales; Streptococcaceae. The record is from RNAcentral.
UUUAAUGAGAGUUUGAUCCUGGCUCAGGACGAACGCUGGCGGCGUGCCUAAUACAUGCAAGUAGAACGCUGAGGUUUGGUGUUUACACUAGACUGAUGAGUUGCGAACGGGUGAGUAACGCGUAGGUAACCUGCCUCAUAGCGGGGGAUAACUAUUGGAAACGAUAGCUAAUACCGCAUAAGAGUAAUUAACACAUGUUAGUUAUUUAAAAGGAGCAAUUGCUUCACUGUGAGAUGGACCUGCGUUGUAUUAGCUAGUUGGUGAGGUAAAGGCUCACCAAGGCGACGAUACAUAGCCGACCUGAGAGGGUGAUCGGCCACACUGGGACUGAGACACGGCCCAGACUCCUACGGGAGGC